GCGUCCGAGGUCGUUUUCCGGAUUACCUUCAUGAGGAACGCUCAAAGCCAUAUAUUUGAAAGCCGAAUAUUUUGAAGACCAUAAACGUUAAAAUGUUAACACCCAAAAGAAAGUAAACGACUAUGAUAAUAACUAUAUCACGACAAAGGUCUUAUUGGACGAUUUCAUUUUAAAAUGAUGUCAUAAAUAUAUGCAAACUUCUGUUGACUAGUAACUAACAGCUUAUCUCUGAAAAUGGAUGUCGGCCUAUCAAGACCAUCUUCUUUGGUCAGAAUUUGAUUGUACUGUCUGCCAUCAGGAGAUAUGACCACCACAUUACAUGAAUCCAUUCCAGCAACAAAAGUGUUCCCGUUGUUGUCUAUGGUAAUUCCUUGCGGAUACUCUAACACGCCUUCAUCCUUGAACUUCCACACUAAUUCUCCACUAUAUUAACAGCACGUUACUGUGUGUUUAUCAGGAUUUG
Molecule: long non-coding RNA, 463 nt
Filed under: Mytilus galloprovincialis (Mediterranean mussel)
Lineage: Eukaryota; Metazoa; Mollusca; Bivalvia; Mytilida; Mytilidae
Source: RNAcentral